UACGGGGGGGGCAAGCGUUGUUCGGAAUUACUGGGCGUAAAGGGCUCGUAGGUGGUCAACUAAGUCGGACGUGAAAUCCCUCGGCUUAACCGGGGAACUGCGUCCGAUACUGGAUGACUUGAGUUCGGGAGAGGGAUGCGGAAUUCCAGGUGUAGCGGUGAAAUGCGUAGAUAUCUGGAGGAACACCGGUGGCGAAGGCGGCAUCCUGGACCAUUACUGACGCUGAGGCGCGAAAGCUAGGGGAGCAAACGGG
This 253-nucleotide ribosomal RNA is filed under the name uncultured bacterium. RNAcentral's name for it is "partial 16S ribosomal RNA". It matches the Rfam family "Bacterial small subunit ribosomal RNA", at positions 524 to 776 of the family's 1533-position model. The record is from RNAcentral.